Long non-coding RNA from Impatiens glandulifera, 221 nucleotides. RefSeq lists it as uncharacterized. Lineage: Eukaryota; Viridiplantae; Streptophyta; Magnoliopsida; Ericales; Balsaminaceae. The record is from RefSeq and is a predicted model, not a curated record. The transcript is spliced from 2 exons.
UAUAUCAAGAACAAUUCUUCAAUGAUCAAAUGAAGAUCAUUCAUGAAACUAGGGAAGAACUGGAAUCCAAGUUUGAGAAGAUGCUUCAAGAGAAAUGACAGAAGGUUAAACAAUCAUCCAAUAGUCCAAAUAGCUCUUCUAUAGUGGGGGAUGAAAUCACAAAGUUCAUAAAAACUCAAGACAAGGAAAUGAAAGAGUUUGAAACUGAGAGGGAGAAUCUG